UUCUUUAGUAGAAGGAUAACAUGACAUAGCAGGAAUAAUACUGCCUUUUCUUUCUGGCAUGGAUCAAGAGAAAAGAAAAUACAAGAAAACAGACAGAAGAUCCUAUCUGCGACAAUUAAGAGCACUCUAAGAGGAAAACACAUCCCACCACACAAGGCAAGGUACUUCUAUGGAAGGGUGAGCCCUCACAGAUGGAGCAAUGGGGCGCGCACACCUGAACAAGGGAGGGGAAGGAGUUCUUAUCCCUGAUGCAUGUGACCCCUGCUGCUGUGUCCUUCCCCUAUUGGCUAAGGUUAGACCACACAGCCUAAACUAAUUCCGAUUGGCUAAUUCAAAGAGAGCGACGGGGGCUUCUGACAGCUUUGGAGAUUGUGACAUUGGAAUAAAGGAAAAACGUACAGGACUCAUGAAGCGCUGAAAUGUUCACAAAUAUCAAGCAAAAGUCAAUGAAAUUUAUUUUGAGCUAUUUACAUCAUUUAAUAAUUGAGCAAGGUAUACUCCUAUGAACAAAAUUUGGAGCAUGUUUGUCUCUCUCUGCCUGGCGUCUUCAGAAUUUGGAAACUAGUUAUGGUUUAUAAUCAGCUAUAGAAUUUUAACACGUGCUCUCAAAUGCAAGUUUCUGAUAACUUUGGAGAUUGUGACAUUGGAAUAAAGGAAGAGCUGGAAUGUUCAUGAAUAUCAAGCAAAAGUCAUGGAAAUUUAUUUUGAGCUAUUUACAGCAUUUAAUAAUUGAGCAAGGUAUACUCCUAUGAACAAAAUUUGGAGCAUGUUUGUCUCUCUCUGUCUGCCUGGCAUCUACAGAAUUUGGAAACUAGUUGUGCUGUACUGCAUGAGAAUGCCUGCAUUUAGUAUGCGAACUGGAAUUGGCAAAGGACGAUGGCUGCUCUCCCGCUAACUUUAAAUAAGUCAUGUCACAAAUUGCAUUCGUUCCCAGAUUUCCUAAACUUUCCAGAGAAAAUGGUCUUCUCCCUGGCUCAGCAAGAAGAUGAACUUUAAACACUGAGAAACUGGUCAUCUCCCUGGCUCAACCAGAAGAUGAACUUUAAACACUACUCUCAAUGACUUGAUGUUCCCAUCACUACUCCUGUCAUAAAGGGAGGGGACUCAGAUAUUGAGAAUUUUAUGAUAGUGUGAACUGUCUGGUAUGUCAUUUAAGUAAGCCCGUUGCUGAAAUAUUUUCCAUGUUAUUAGAAAGAGCUGAAGAGAGGGAUUGAGAUGGCUUCUUUAUUUUUUGUCUUUUGGGAAUUAAAGGAACCUGGUUCAACAAGGGCCUACACCUAAGUCUCUUGUUGUACCAGAGUACAAUUUAGGACUGCUCCUGAGGAAGGAAUUAGCUAGAAAUCUAGAGAGUAAGGGUAACAGAUUUACAUAGAAUAACAGCCUCAGUAUUUUUGGUUCCUCUCCAGUAAAGAUCACAAAGAAUAUUGCUAAAUCGCUAAAACACCUUUGCAAUAACGUAAGGGCUUACAACUAUAUACCAAUGUAGCUCAGUUACUAAACUGGAGUAAACUAAUUUCUCUUGUGUAGAAAAAUUGGUUGGCUGUGGUUUUAUAGCAGAUCUGCAAUUAUUAAUAGUUAUGCCAAUAAUCGUUUAACAGUGCAUAUGUUAAUAUAUAUGGAAAGACAAUGUGUAUAGACAGAUGUGUAAAAUUGAAAAAUAAACAUAUAACAAGAGAGAAACAUCUAUCGAACAGACAAUAUACAUACACAUCAAACACAACAGCAGUUUUAGUGACCAUAAUAUUUAUUUCUCAUUUUUACAUUGCUUACUUUAGUGACAACUGAAAAUGACAGUUGGCAAUGCAGCUAACAGUUUCAAUAAAAGUAUAAAACAAAAGACUGUGUACAAAGCACCUGUCUUUCCGCUUUUGUAAUCUUCCGUUGGAAAAAAUUUACACACCUAAGUAACCAUCUGUUUUCUUCAAGAAAAAAUCAUUCUUAUUUCUCUCUCUCAUCUUGAAAACAGCUGUCAGCCAGGAGGGCAGAGCUGAAAUUUAUUGCCACAUCACAUGAAGCAUAGAACAGACUCCACUACUCCUUGAGAUUCAAAACUUUGCCUCUCACAAAGUUACCUUUUAUUUUCCUCUUGUUUGUCACUCAUCUCCCCUAGUGUGCUCUUUUUAUUUCUUUUACUAUUAAUAAUAAAAUCUGUGGAUGACUGUAUUAU
This 2167-nucleotide long non-coding RNA is filed under the name Homo sapiens (human). RNAcentral's name for it is "HSALNT0403332". Lineage: Eukaryota; Metazoa; Chordata; Mammalia; Primates; Hominidae. The record is from RNAcentral.